GUAUAUCCUUUUCUUUGUUGAUUGCUUUUUCCUUAUGAUUUAAACAAAGAUUUUUUGGGUCUUAUGAUAUCAUACAGUGGCCACGUUCUUGUUCUUAUUUACAAGUUUGUUUAAAGAGUUUUUCUAAUCAAAGUUUGUCUUAUGAUAUCAUACAGUGGCCACGUUCUUGUUCUUAUUUUCAAGUUUGUUUAAAAUCACUGCUUUCUUAUUCAGCAAGUUGAAUUUUAACCACAAUAAUUUUCAGUUUUAUUUCUUUUAUUUUAUUUUUAAUUAACCAUAAUGCAUUACAAUCUGGGAAUUGAUCACAUGGUCCUAAAAGGACUACAUCAGCUGCUUGACUUGAAAUCAAAAGGAGAGCCAAACAAAAGGAUCCAAUUAGUAGAAUGGAUUUGUUAAUAGCCAUUUUCUCAAAUCAGAGGAUUUUUUUCGUCUGUGUGUUUGUCUGUCUUAUUUUGUGUGCAUUUUCAGUUUUAUUUGCCGAAACUUCAAAGUGUUUUUCCCCUUACAAAAGCUUGUUUACAACCAGACAUGGGUAGGAAUGGUCUUCGGAAAAAAAUUAGUCAGUUGAUUGAUAAUGGUAAUAUGGAACCUCCUAAGAGUGCUCAAGCGACGCCGGUUAAAGAAAAUUUGCCCACACAACAGGUGGAAGAACUUGUUUAUCCGGGAAGCGUGGACACGCUAGGUGAGAUUGAAAUUAGCUACCAUUAUGGUGGUUAUUUUGUAUUCUCGCCUUCUAGAAAAUAUGUAAACGGGAUCGAAAUAUUAGUGAAUAUUUCGGGGGUAGACCAACGAAGGUACAACUCAUAAAGCAAUUAGAAUCGACAAGAAAGGAAUCGAACGAGCAUGUGGAAGAAAUUAAAAGGGAAGCUAAGGAGAAAAUUGAAGAAAUGAAGAAAGAAACGGAUAAUAAGAUAGCAAAGUUGGAGAAACAAUGGGCAGCAAAAUUUCAAAUGUUGGUUGCAGCUCAAGGCCGACAAUCAAAUGAUGCAAAUCUAACCCUUGUGGAGUAGUGAUGGAAGCAUCAAAUCGAUGGGGACAUGAAGAAUUAUUUUUUCUCUUGCAAAAGUAUAUUGAUAUGUUUGAAUAAAGUGAUGUUUCACUAUUUUGGAUGACAUUGUUGAACCUUGUUACAUCUUUUUUCUAAUUUAUGCAUUUAUUACACAAUUAAAGAUAUAUUGCUA
Molecule: long non-coding RNA, 1181 nt
Organism: Lycium barbarum (goji berry)
Lineage: Eukaryota; Viridiplantae; Streptophyta; Magnoliopsida; Solanales; Solanaceae
Exons: 3
Source: RefSeq, a predicted model, not a curated record